CAAAAACAUGUCCUUUUGUUUAUUUAUUUAAGGUCUAACCUGCCCGAUGAUUUAUAUUUAAUGGCCGCAGUAUUUUAACUGUGCUAAGGUAGCAUAAUUAUUUGUCUUUUAAAUGGAGGCUAGAAUGAAUGGUUGGACGAGAUGUAAGCUUUCUUUAAUUUAAAUUAGGAAUUUAACUUUUAGGUUAAAAGGCUUGAAUUUAUUUAAGGGACGAGAAGACCCUAUAGAUCUUUAUAUUAAGUUUAAUUUUAAGGUUUGGGAGUUUAUUAUAUUUAAUUAUUGAAAUAUUUGAUUGGGGAGAUUGUAGAAUUUAAUUAACUUCUAUUUUUUUUUUCAUUUAUUUAUGUUUACUUGAUCCAUUUUAAUGAUUGUAAGAUUAAGUUACCUUAGGGAUAACAGCGUAAUUUUCUCGGGGAGUUCGAAUCUAUGAGGAAGUUUGCGACCUCCAUGUUGGAUUAAAAUAAGGUUUUUAUGUAGCAGUAAGGGAACUAGGUCUGUUCGACCUUUAAUUUUUUACAUGAUCUGA
RNAcentral lists this ribosomal RNA (526 nucleotides) under Salyavata variegata. Its description in RNAcentral is "partial 16S ribosomal RNA". It matches the Rfam family "Bacterial large subunit ribosomal RNA", at positions 1808 to 2608 of the family's 2925-position model. Lineage: Eukaryota; Metazoa; Arthropoda; Insecta; Hemiptera; Reduviidae. The record is from RNAcentral.